Molecule: RNA transcript, 2727 nt
Organism: Pyrgilauda ruficollis (rufous-necked snowfinch)
Lineage: Eukaryota; Metazoa; Chordata; Aves; Passeriformes; Passeridae
Gene: CCDC91
Gene name: coiled-coil domain containing 91
Exons: 14
Source: RefSeq, a predicted model, not a curated record
UACGCAAUGCUACAAACACAAGGUUGUUUCCUUCAUUAAGCAACUCGUAUUGUAGAAGUUAUCUGACGCCAUCAGUUGCGUUUACACAAGUGCCUGCUGAAAGAUGGAUGAUGAUGACUUUGGAGGCUUUGAGGCAGCAGAGAGUUAUGAGUUUGGAAAUGGUGAAAAGCAGACCACAUCUCCUGCUAUUGCUUGGGCAGCAUUUCCUACAGUACCUGAAGUCCAUAGAUCUGAUGUUCUCCUGGAGCACUCUGUGCCUUCUUCCUGCCUGCUUCCUUCUGACUCUUUCAUUUUAUCAAGUGAUAAUGUGGCAACAGUUAUUCAAACAGGCAAGAAUGUGAUAAAUCCAGCUGUUCCUGAAGAACAGGCUCAAGCAGAUAUUCUAGUUGCCUCUUCAGAUGCAACUGAAGACAAGACUUCAGCUGAUGUUGAGACAAAGAGAGCAAAUGAACCCAAGAGCUGCCUUCAACAAGCUGUUGCAAACCUUGAAAUCAAGCUCUGCAGUGCUGAAGAAGAAAAACUAAAAAUCAAAAAGGAAUUGGAAUAUUUGCUGGAAAAACAUAGUGUGCUAGAAAUGGAUUUCUUGAAGGAAAAAAAAGAAAAAGUGCUUCCACAUCAAGAUCAUUACAAGACACUCCAGGAAAAGCAUAAACAGGAAUUAGAAGACAUGAGAAAAGCUGGACAUGAAGCCUUAACUAUUAUUGUAGAAGAAUUCAAGGCACUGCUACAAUCUACAGUUCAGCAGCAAGAAGCAGCUAUUGAAAAGCAGUAUAUAUUAACCAUUGAAAAGCAUUCUCACAAAUGUCAGGAGCUCCUUGAUGCUCAGCAUCAGCGACUUCUUGACAUUUUGGAAGCAGAAAAGGAGGUGUUGUCAGAAAAGAUAGAAGAAGCUAUGAUGCAGCAGUCGCAAAAGCACAAGGAACUGCUGGAUAAGUGUUUGGAUGAAGAAAGACAGAGAAGCAAGGAGGCUUUGGCAGCUGCUGCAAAGGCUGAAAAGGAAGUAGUGCAGGAAGCUGUUCUGAAAGCAGUAGAAGAGGAGAGGAGAAAUAUGGAGAAGAUUCAUGCAGAAGAAAGAAAACUGUGGGAAGCAGAACGUGAUAGUCAUAGAGAGAAGAUUGCCCAGGCUGUUUCAGAAGCCAUGCAAGAGCAAAGAAAGCAGAAUCAGGAAAUUGUCAAGGAAGCAUUAAUGGAGGAGCAGAAACGAAGUGAAAAGGCAGUCGAAGAAGCAGUAAAAAGGACAACAGAGGAAUUGAUGGAGUAUAUUAAAGAGCAGAAGAGGUAAUGUGAAACAAGAUAUUGCCGAUGUGAAAAACUGCUGUUCUCUUUGUGGUUGUAUGUGAAAGAGGUUUUACAGCAACUUCUGUGAGUCAGAGAGAAGUUUGAUAAGAGGAUCCAUGUUUAUCCCUGAAAGAAUUUUCUACCAAGGUUGUUGACAUAGAGACCAAGAAAGAAAGAAGGAUAAGUAAAAGAAACCUGCAACUGUCUAUUCCAAGAAGCACUUUGUCUUUCCUGACCACUUGAUGAAGUUGUCCGCCAGAGAAAUCUGCAUAGUUUGGAACUUUUCCUUUCAUGUGCACAGAAACAGUUAAAUGUUUUAUUAAAGGAAGAGCCAACCCCAGCAGAAAACAGAGACUGACAUUCUCAGUGCUGAUGAUACAGUGUGAUUUGUGAAGCUGCAAAUCUCCAUCUAGCAAAUGAUGAAUAUAUUCCAAUCAUUUUGGAUUGUAUCAUUGAGUCAAGAUUGAUCUGAAAUUCUUGAUAGAAAUGUUUGUGGACGAUGUUCUUCUAUUUAUUUAUUUAUUUUACUACUAUUAUCAGAUAGCAAAUAGGAGAGGGAAAAAAAUCCUUGGGAAAAAAAUUGGCUUAUUUAGGAUUUGUUUUAUUUAGGAUUUUGCUUUCAUUAGAUUUUCUAAUAGCCCGUGUCAAAAGUUUCCGUGUUAUGUCUGAAAUUAUGACAUUUCCCUGUUAUGUCUGUUUUAAAUUUGGCACCAUGUGUUAAUGUGAUUUACCAUUAUUUUUGAUAUUUUAAAAAAUGGAGACAAACAUUUAGUUGAUUAUAGGUACAAAUCCAUCUCUAUUUCCAAAGUAUCUACCCGUAAAGUCCAUUGCCUCAGGUGAACCUGAGUAGCUUAUUAUUUCUUACUGCUUUUCUGAUGUAGAAAGGAGAAUCAGUACUGAAACAUAAUAGUGUUGUCAGGCAUUUCUUAAAUAGUUUAUAAACAAAUCCAGUUCUAGGAACAGAAAAAAUUUAAAAACUAAACAGUACAUCUGUUUAGGGUAGUGUAAAACAUUGCCAUGACCAAUGUAUAGUAUGUAUUUUAUUUCUGUUUUACAGAGCUAGUUCAAUUCCAAAAGUCAUUUUCUCAUGAAGUUACGAUUAAUGUGACUGACCUCAGUUUCAGGAAGAAGAUGUAUGUAAUUAUGUGGAGACUGAUACUCACUGCCUCAGUGGAAUUUCUGACAGAAUAAGGAAUGCAGAUUGCUGACCUCACAUGCCCUUUCGAAGUGCAUCCAAGGAAGUAGAAAAACUCCGCACUGACAUUAUUGGACUUUGGAUCACUCAUAGGUCUUUCUAGUCUUGCUGACAGCAGAUGGAGUGGAAUUUCUGUGCCUACAGGCUAUUGAUUGUAGAACUGGGGCCUUAGUUGUAGAAGAUCUCUGAAUGAAAUAAGGGAAAAUAAGUGUUCAUGCUUAGGUACGCAAAUAAACUAAGAAUGAUCUCUCUUA